This 330-nucleotide ribosomal RNA is filed under the name Triticum aestivum (bread wheat). RNAcentral's name for it is "partial small subunit ribosomal RNA". The record is from RNAcentral. Lineage: Eukaryota; Viridiplantae; Streptophyta; Magnoliopsida; Poales; Poaceae.
AUGCCACUGCAUAGCCACCAGACGCCUGCCGCUGCAGCACCGAUCCCUUUUCACCAUGUUCACGAGUACCUACCAGCAUCAUACAUACCUUCAUAUCAUAAAGCAAUCACCAGCCAGCCAGCGCCCAUCCCACCGUUCACGCCCUCCUUCCACCGUUCCACGCAACUACUCCCCAACGUCCACGCCUUCUUCCUCUGCCCCAAGAACUCCCGCUCAGCCUCCCGCCCAGCUCAAGCUCCACCGCGUGCAGAGGGAGAGAGGAAAAGGGAGGAGACGGGGGAGCUCCUGCACGCCGCCCUAGCAUUCAAGCGCACGCGCACACGCAUAUAG